Molecule: long non-coding RNA, 2651 nt
Organism: Bos taurus (domestic cattle)
Lineage: Eukaryota; Metazoa; Chordata; Mammalia; Artiodactyla; Bovidae
Source: Ensembl
ACCCGGGGGCUAGGAUUCAGACAGCAUGUGCUCUCCUGUGCAGAGCAGUUUGUCUGUAAAUAAAGGUCAGGGUGACUGGAGCAGAGACAGCAGAGGGCAUGGAGGCUGGAGGGAGAGACAGUUGGUUUCAGAUCCUGGGGCCCGCUCAGCUGGGCGCAGAGCUCAGACUCGACCCGGGGGACCGAGGAAAGCUCUGGGCGCUCGAGUGGAGCCACCAGCACCAGCUCUGCAGGUUUGAGAGACCCUCUGGCUGCAGAGAAGGGCAUGGCAACCCACUCCAAUAUUCUUGGCUGGAGAAUCCCAUGGACAGAGGAGCCCGGUGGGCUACAGUCCAGGGGGUUGCAGAAUCGGAUACAACUGAGCGACUAAACCAGCACGUGCGGAGGGACACAGACCUGCAGAAACGCGGCGGGAGAGCCAGGGAGGGACGAGCGUCUGGGGAGAAGCCGCAGAGGCCCUCGUAUUUCUCAACAUGAAGAUGUCAGAAGCCAAGUUCCCAGCAAGUGGAGGGCCAACGGGUGUCUUUUGCUUGUUUGUUUUUGAAAAGGGAGUCUUCAUAGUCCCACAGUCCAGGACAGACAGUGUGGCUUGGUUUCCAGACCACCGAGAUGUGGCAGAUAUCGCAAUAAAGCAAGGUACACGGAGAUCUUGGUUUCCCAGCGCCCGUGACAGCUGUGUUCACACGAUCCUGGGCCCUGUUAAAUGUGCAGUAGCAUUCGUUUCUACAGAAAUGGUGUGCACACCAAAAUUAUAGAAGUUUUAUUGUUCUAAGCAUCCAGCAAUGCACGGCUGUGACUACCCUUCAGUGUAAACGACACAGCGCCUGAGGUCAGCCCAGGCUGCCUGGUCACUGACGAGCCCGCCCUGCAGCUUCUCUGUCCACCCGGGACAGUGAGGACAAGAGCAGCACAAAUUCAGGGCUUGCCCGGUGGUCCAGCGGUUAAAACUCUACGCUGCCAGUGCAGAGGGCGCGGGUUUGAUCGCUGGCUGGGGAACUAAGAUCCUGCACGCCUCUCUGUGUGGUCAAAGAAUAGAAAAAGAAGCAUAGUGUGGACUCCACUGGACACGGAGCCGCAGCCACUCUCAGCGAGUGUUGGCCAGAUGCCAAGUAGAUCUCCACCAUGUAAUAGGUGAGUAAGUCAAGACAGGGAGCACUGAAGUGAAGCAGCCUGAGUCACCAGUGGCCGGGGGGUGUCUGUGUCACAGCCCUCGGCCUGGGCUGUCCCCUCCCGUCCUCCUCAAGCCCUCCUGCCGGAUUCCCCAGAGCUGGGUCUUGCCCUCCUGAUGUGCCAGCCUGCACCCAGGACUCCCACCCGAUGGGGUCCUGGUUGCCGGCCGGCAGGAAGCGUCCAGCCCCAGACCCCAUCGUGUCCCCUGCUCUCGGACCACAGCCGCCCGGUUUCCCCGGGAGUGUAGGGAGCUGAUUGGAAUUGACACUUCUGGACGGAAGGGAAAGGACUGGGCCCGGGGGUGCCAGGCGCCAGAGGACUGCUCUGCAGGAGGACUGAGCCCAGGUCAGCCCACGUGGGGCCGAGAAGCCGGGGGUUUGCACCCCCGCCGCGCUUGUUCCCCGGAUCUGGAUCCGGGCUCCCUGGGAAGGGUGUGAGCCUGGCUCUCUGCCAUCGGGGCAGACCACGGACCUGACACCCGGGAGCAGCCUGGUGACCUCGCUCCCCGCAUCCGCACAGCUGGUUCCUCUGAAAGAGGCCAAGCAGUUUAACAGGCCUUGGUUCAACAAACAGUGCCCGAGAAGUACCGUUGCAGGCGCUGCCGGUACACAGAGCCGAGACAAAGCCUGUCUCUCAGGAAAGGCGAGCCUGUGACGUAACAGAUGCAAGCUCAGAGCCGCACUCUCCCACGGUCGACGGUCACGGAUCCACUUGACGGUGUGAAGAACUUCUUUCUGCCAUGAGACAUCAGAACCUGAGAGUCAGUGUGUCCAGACGCAGAUGCUGAACCCCCGCCAGGCGGCAGAAGUUCAGUGUCUGCUGCCCACAGGCACGUAGACCCGAGACUCGCUGAAGCCGGAAGGUUGGUGACGCUGACUGUCACUCACCACACCACCAGCCCGUCAGCACGGCGUCCCCGAGCUGCUCACACAGGCCUUGAGCCACGACUACUCCCUCCAGGUCUGGACACACGGCUUUGAGGGCAUUAGCCCUCUGGGGCCCCUCAGCCUUGGCAAAGCAAGUAAAGAUAUUCUUUUCUACUUCACCCCCCUUCACACACACACACACACACACACACACAAAUAGACAAUGUGAUGGAAAAUAUGAGAGAAAAAUAGGAAAAUCAGAGUUAGUCCUGGAGAGUUAAACUUCUGAAAAACAGGGGUUCUUGGAAGACAGAAGAGAGGAAACAGCAGUAAGGAAAUCCUCUUGGAAAGAGCUCAGAAAACCCCCAAAUGGAGCUGAAGCAGCCUUCAGUUUCCAAGGGCAAAUGGCAAGGCAAGUGCCCAGGAGAGAGUUUGCAAACAGAAGUCAUGCCACAGCUAACCAGGACGCCAGGGUGUGGAGCCCUUGCCAGCUCCUCUGACAUACAGAGAGGGGGUCACGGCCAAAUGACCAGCAACCAAAAGGGGUCCAUACCCUACUGGGGGCGGGGGUGGAUACAUCUCCUAGUAACUUUCUUAAAAAAAAAAAAAGCAAAAU